AGUGAACGCUGGCGGUAGGCCUAACACAUGCAAGUCGAACGGCAGCACAGUAAGAGCUUGCUCUUACGGGUGGCGAGUGGCGGACGGGUGAGGAAUACAUCGGAAUCUACUUUUUCGUGGGGGAUAACGUAGGGAAACUUACGCUAAUACCGCAUACGACCUACGGGUGAAAGCAGGGGAUCUUCUGACCUUGCUCGAUUGAAUGAGCCGAUGUCGGAUUAGCUAGUUGGCGGGGUAAAGGCCCACCAAGGCGACGAUCCGUAGCUGGUCUGAGAGGAUGAUCAGCCACACUGGAACUGAGACACGGUCCAGACUCCUACGGGAGGCAGCAGUGGGGAAUAUUGGACAAAGGGCGCAAGCCUGAUCCAGCCAUACCGCGUGGGUGAAGAAGGCCUUCGGGUUGUAAAGCCCUUUUGUUGGGAAAGAAAAGCAGCAGGUUAAUACCCCGCUGUUCUGACGGUACCCAAAGAAUAAGCACCGGCUAACUUCGUG
RNAcentral lists this ribosomal RNA (492 nucleotides) under uncultured bacterium. RNAcentral describes it as "partial 16S ribosomal RNA". It matches the Rfam family "Bacterial small subunit ribosomal RNA", at positions 29 to 507 of the family's 1533-position model. The record is from RNAcentral.